Molecule: long non-coding RNA, 705 nt
Organism: Biomphalaria glabrata
Lineage: Eukaryota; Metazoa; Mollusca; Gastropoda; Planorbidae
Exons: 3
Source: RefSeq, a predicted model, not a curated record
ACUAUGGCGCUACACUAACUCCACUCUAGACCUGGGCUACCCACGAAACUCAAAGACGACGUUUGUGGAAACGCCUCUGGCAGCCUUGUCAACAUACGAUGCCAGAGGAAAAAUUUUAGUUCUCUUCUUCGGGAAAACUUUAACAUGGCGAUGGAAUCCUGUUUCUGAAAUGAUGAAUGGAAAUUAUAAUUUAAUAUCAAUCCACUGGCGUCAUGUACCCCCUCAGUUCGACGCUGUUGUUUAUUGGUGGGACAAUUACAUUUAUUUCUUUAAAAAGAGCAAGUACUAUAAAGUGAAUUUCUACACUAGAGAGCUACUUGCCAACUAUCCGAAACCAACAGCCCCUUCAUGGUUCAAAGGUGAAUGCGGAGUAGCUCCGAAAUAAAGUCAUUUCAUUGAUGAACACCUAUGUGUUACUAUAAUUUUUUGCAAGCUUUUUACAUCAGCUCACUCUGUCUGUUUGUCUGUCUGGUAAGAGUUUGAACACGUUAUUUUUCCCACACCCAUACUUAAAAAGGAAACUAAACCUCCAGUAGUCAUAGACAUGGCUAAAUAUGUGUGGGUUUUGUCCCUUUAGAUUAUUGUAUACAUUAUUUCUACCACAUCCAUUCUCGGAUCAAGUUGAAACGUUACACAAUUAUUUAUUGUACUCAACAAAACAUGAAUGAAUUAAAAAUCAAACAAUUAGCUAACUAAUUAUUUUGU